RNAcentral lists this ribosomal RNA (774 nucleotides) under uncultured Neocallimastigales. RNAcentral's name for it is "partial large subunit ribosomal RNA". It matches the Rfam family "Eukaryotic large subunit ribosomal RNA", at positions 24 to 649 of the family's 3401-position model. The record is from RNAcentral. Lineage: Eukaryota; Fungi; Neocallimastigomycota; Neocallimastigomycetes; Neocallimastigales.
UAUGUGAUCGUCUCUCGCAUAUCAAUAAGCGGAGGAAAAGAAACUAACAAGGAUUCCCCUAGUAACGGCGAGUGAAGCGGGAAGAGCUCAAAUUUGAAUCUUAAAGGGUUUCCCUUUACGAAUUGUAGUUUAAAGAAGUGUUUUCUGUUGAGGUUUUGGUAAAAGUUCUUUGGAAUAGGACAUCAUAGAGGGUGAGAAUCCCGUAUUUGACCUUUACUUUCAACUUUGUGAUACACUUUCAAAGAGUCGGAUUGUUUGGGAAUGCAGUCCAAAAUGGGUGGUAAAUUUCAUCUAAAGCUAAAUAUUGGCGAGAGACCGAUAGCGAACAAGUACCGUGAGGGAAAGAUGAAAAGAACUUUGAAAAGAGAGUUAAACAGUACGUGAAAUUGUCAAAAGGGAAGCGUUUGACACCAGUGUUGUUUUUCUGAAAAUCAAUUAAAGAACUGUUUAUGCUAAGCUGUUUAGACUUUAUCAGCUAAUCUGUUUAGUUUUGAGCUUUUCUUUAAUGCACUUUUCAGUUAACAAGUCAACAUCAAUUUCUUUUGCUGUAAAAAAGCUUGAGGAAGGUGGCUUGAGAUUCGUCUUAAGUGUUUAUAGCCUCUUGCCUAUGCAGUCGGAGAGAUUGAGGUCUGCAGCGUAGAUCCUUCGGGGCUAAAUGCAUUUGUGCUAAGUUAUAGCAUUUUAUAGACAACUUGUUGACUAUGAUUUGUCUUGUAGCUUACUCGCUUAUGUUAUUUUACCUACGCUUAGGAUGUUGAGUAGCGACAUACGCAC